Molecule: non-coding RNA, 801 nt
Organism: Seriola dumerili (greater amberjack)
Lineage: Eukaryota; Metazoa; Chordata; Actinopteri; Carangiformes; Carangidae
Source: the annotation of a RefSeq genome assembly
UCAUGUGUUUGAUUCUAUGCAAACUCAGUGACCUUCCUUGUUACUCAGCUAUAAAAACUUCAGAUCAGACUGUCAGUGGAGUUCACAGCUCGUCAGCUUCACCAUAAACCAUGUUUUCUGUAGCUCUGCUGCUGCUGUUGGCAGCUGGAUCCUGUGUGAAGUGUGAACAGUUGACACAGCCAGCCUCUGUGACUGUGCAGCCAGGUCAACGUCUCACCAUCACCUGUCAGGUCUCUUAUUCUGUUAGCAGCUACUACACAGCUUGGAUCAGACAGCCUGCAGGGAAAGGACUGGAGUGGAUUGGAAUUGCUGCUACUGGAUACACAACAUACUAUAAAAAUUCACUAAAGAACAAAUUCAGUAUUGAAACAGACUCUUCCAGCAAAACAGUGACUCUAAAUGGAAAGAAUGUGCAGCCUGAAGACACUGCUGUGUAUUACUGUGCCAGACACACAAUAACACAAACCAUCAGUAGACCUGAACAAAAACCCCUCAGUGCCUGAACACUUGUAACAUGAAGCCACCAGAGGAGGAGCCCUCAGACCACUAAUGAUUUCACACCAGCUCACUGUUACAGUCAAGAGGGAAACAGUGUUUAGAUUUUACAAAUGGUUCUUAAUUAAAUUUUACAGCAACUGUUUUCAACAAUUUAAAUAUGCUGACUUCAUAAUCUCUGAAAUAUUACUGUAUGUUUCCCAAAGUGAAAACUGAAUAACACUAUUACACCUUUCAAGUGAUGAAAUUCAUCCAGCUGAGAACCUGGUUUUAAAAAGGUCAUAAUCCAACAAGACAUGGAUCUUU